Molecule: long non-coding RNA, 1417 nt
Organism: Oxyura jamaicensis (ruddy duck)
Lineage: Eukaryota; Metazoa; Chordata; Aves; Anseriformes; Anatidae
Exons: 3
Source: RefSeq, a predicted model, not a curated record
AAAAAAAAAAAAAAAGGGUGAGAUACAAAUCCCAGCCUGUCUAUAUUGUUCCUACAGUCUCCUUCCUCCAGUUGUGUUAUGAAAAAUGUGUUCCUGCCUGUCACUUCUGUGGUCAGGCCAUGUCCAGUGCUUGUUGUUUCCAGAUAUCACCCACGCCUUGUUUGCCGCAUGUCUGAGCCUGACCCACCAUGUGUUCCAGAAGUGGACAUUGCUCGUGGAUGGUCUCAGGAGGAGCAAGUCCUCCCUACGGAGGACUUCACCCGAACUAGAGCAGAGUAAUUAAAUCAAAGUAAGUGGUCACAGCCUGCUAAAGAAACAACAUGAAACACACAGAGAACUGCAAACAACCAAAUAAAAUGACUCACUGUCACACUAUGUUCAUAUAUUCCCACUAAAGAAAUCUUAGGCCACAGCUUAAGACUCUGAGAUCUCCAAUAUACAGUAACUGUGAUCCAGUCUCUCACUCAUCCUUAACAAACCUAUCCAUAAGAAACCUCUGCAGCACAGCUUAGUAUACACCAGUAAAAAGUAUUAGACUUCUUUUUGGUGAACGCUGCUGGUGUGGGAGCAGUCUGUUAAAAGCAAUAAGGAAGCAUUUACAGCCUCUGGACCAGGUGCUGGAGCUAAAAAUAAGAAGAAAAAUGGCUGAGUGAAGACUGGUAAUUUGGACUGGGAGCUUAGCAUUAGCUUCUUAGAGCUCAAGUCUGGAUGGGAAACCAGCAGCAGAAGCAGUAAGUGUUGGGAGUAGGAGAUGGUAACUGGAACUGGCUGUAGUUGGAGGCUCAUGCUGGAACAAGGCUCUUGGGCAGGGAGACAGAGGAGAGCUAGAAGAGUCAGGCAGCUCCGAGCAUGUCAGUAUUUACUCCUGUCAAGCCUGCAGCGAAGCCAGUGAGUCUUGAGCCCUACCAUUCCUCAGCUGCCAGCAAUGUUCAUGAAACCUCUUGCAGUUUUGCUGCUGUUAAUGGUAAGUACAUCAGACUGACUCACUGGGUCAGACCAUCUAACCCAAUAUCCUGUCUCCUCCCACAGCCAGCAGUAAAUGCCAAGGGAAGAGCACAAGAACAGACCCACAAACUAAUCUGAUGAAUAGCUGAAAGCCAGCUAACUGUUGGACAUUGAGCAUCUUUACCUGCUGGGACCACAGGAAAAAGCAUGAGGAAAAAGAUGUGUCCACCAACACCCGUUUGACAAACAAGUUAAGGCUUUUACCUGGAAGCCAAAAUAUGAUUAUUGUUUUUCCUUCACAUUUCACUUGAACAUGAUCUGAAGCACAGAUUCAAAUGUCAGUCAAACAUCUGAGUUGAGUGUUUAUCAACCAGACCAGGCAAUUCUUCACAGGAAUCUCUAUCUUUGUCUCCUGUACAAACUAUCCUGUUUUAUAAAAUGAUAGGAUACACUGAACUGGAGACCUAAACCC